Daphnia pulex (common water flea) is the source of this 802-nucleotide long non-coding RNA. RefSeq lists it as uncharacterized. The record is from RefSeq and is a predicted model, not a curated record. The transcript is spliced from 2 exons. NCBI's taxonomy places the organism in Eukaryota, Metazoa, Arthropoda, Branchiopoda, Diplostraca, Daphniidae.
UGUAAGAUAAAAUACAGUCACAGGACAAUAUCUUUCCCUACAAGAUGUCGUCCUAGAACAGCUCCCAGUUGAUUGAAUCCGACAGAAAACUAAAUUGACUAAAAAUGUAAAAGUGCAGCCGGAAAACAAAUCGGACCGGAUGGAUGAGAUUCCGUCCCGAAUGUGUUUAUUAUUCCACCCUCAUUUUCCGAUGUUGCUGGUGCGGUGAAACGACUUUGAAAUCCCUACGCAGCUUUCAGUGCAGAUCUAUCAAUUAAAGGCGGAUGAUAUAUGACUUCGGAGACUUUUUUGCGCAAGUGUAAAAGGACGAACGAAACAUAUGUGGCUGUCGUUAUAUAAAAAUUAGUUGAUGAGUCAGAUAUGAUGUGAAUUGAAUUGUACACAGUACGUAUAUAUAUAAUGCGCCCUGCAAUUGUAUACUCUCGCCUCGUGAAUCUUAUGUGUAUCUUGUGUGUAUGUUAUGAAAGAAAAAACCCGUCUGAGAGACGAGUGGUCUACUCGUGUUUCAUUUGACACCAGCCUCUACCCUGCCGAAAGUGCCAAUCGAGCUAUUUUUGCCCUUGAAGUGCAAACGCUGCUGUCCCCGUCUGGGCGACUAUUCGUGGCACAUUUCCUGUGCAACAUAUGUUUUGAUCACCAUAUUUUUGAUUUGUAAAUAAUAUCGAGUUGUGUCUUUUUCGUAUUUUUUUCGUUUGCUUUUGUAUGUCUGUAUUUUUCACUAUGCAAUGCUUAUUUUUAUCAAUCUUAUGCGAUCUAUUUUUGGCCAAUCCGAAAUAGACGAAUACAUUUCAUUUCCCAAUUA